RNAcentral lists this ribosomal RNA (425 nucleotides) under uncultured bacterium. Its description in RNAcentral is "partial 16S ribosomal RNA". It matches the Rfam family "Bacterial small subunit ribosomal RNA", at positions 354 to 796 of the family's 1533-position model. The record is from RNAcentral.
GUAGGGAAUAUUAGAAAUGGACGAAAGUCUGAUCUAGCAACACCGCGUGUGCGAAGAAGGCCUUCGGGUCGUAAAGCACUUUUUGGAAGGAAUAGGAAGGAAUGUACUUCCAGAAUAAGUCUCGGCUAACUACGUGCCAGCAGCCGCGGUAACACGUAGGAGGCAAACGUUAUCCGGAUUUACUGGGCGUAAAGCGCGUGUAGGUGGUACUGUAAGUAGGGCGUGAAAGCUCCUGGCUCAACUGGGAGAGGCCGUUCUAAACUACAGAACUAGAGGAUGGUAGAGGGAGGUGGAAUUCCAGGUGUAGCGGUGGAAUGCGCAGAUAUCUGGAGGAACACCGGUGGCGAAGGCGGCCUCCUGGACCAUUCCUGACACUCAGACGCGAAAGCUAGGGUAGCAAACGGGAUUAGAAACCCGGGUAGUCC